AUUAAACGCUGGCGGCAUGCCUUACACAUGCAAGUCGAACGGCAGCACGGGGGCAACCCUGGUGGCGAGUGGCGGACGGGUGAGUAAAGCAUCGGAACGUAUCCUGGAGUGGGGGGAUAACGUAGCGAAAGUUACGCUAAUACCGCAUAUUCUGUGAGCAGGAAAGCAGGGGAUCGCAAGACCUUGCGCUCUGGGAGCGGCCGAUGUCGGAUUAGCUAGUUGGUGGGUAAAGGCCUACCAAGGCGACGAUCCGUAGCGGGUCUGAGAGGAUGAUCCGCCACACUGGGACUGAGACACGGCCCAGACUCCUACGGGAGGCAGCAGUGGGGAAUUCUGGACAAUGGCGGAAGCCUGAUCCAGCCAUGCCGCGUGAGUGAAGAAGGCCUUCGGUUGUAAGG
RNAcentral lists this ribosomal RNA (398 nucleotides) under uncultured bacterium. Its description in RNAcentral is "bacterial SSU rRNA". It matches the Rfam family "Bacterial small subunit ribosomal RNA", at positions 29 to 430 of the family's 1533-position model. The record is from RNAcentral.